Canis lupus familiaris (dog) is the source of this 83-nucleotide non-coding RNA. NCBI's taxonomy places the organism in Eukaryota, Metazoa, Chordata, Mammalia, Carnivora, Canidae. The record is from Rfam.
GCCUGGGUGGCUCAGUGGUUGAGCGCCUGCCUUUGGCCCAGGACAUGAUCCUGGAGUCCUGGGAUUGAAUCCCACAUCAGGCU